UGCAGGUAUAAAGGAAGGAGAUGCAAGAUAACUAUAUCCUAGAAGACAAAAAUUAUAACUGUACUCUAAAUCCAUUUUCUCCCAUAGUUUGAGGAGAAAGCACACAGAACUGGAAGGAAAAGCAUCUUCACAAAGGGUAUCCUUGGGGACAUACUCAACCUUGGCCUGCUAACUUACACCUCUCUCAAUGAUUUCUUCACCUAAUCUCCAUGGUGUUAAACUCCACACACUUUGGGGGAAACCCAUCUUCCUUACAGGCCCCUCCUAGGGUCUGUCCUCUUUCCCACCCAGCACUAUACUUCCUCCAAUUCAGAAUGCUCUCUGGCAGGAAGGGGGCACUAGGAGGGAAUCGUGAUUGCUGGUCUUUGACAUUUUAAGUCUUGUAGAAUAUAGCUCUCUAGCCAUCUAGCCCUCUUCACAUGAUGGAGGCACACUGAGUUGAACUGACAUGUAUCACAAGGACAUACCUUAAGCCUCAGAGACAGUAUCACCUAAACUUACAAGAAAUAAGAGGAAUAAUGAUCAGACUGCCUCUCUCACAGUGGACUUUCACUUGCCACACAGAGCACUAAGACUUCCACCCCUGAAUCCCAACUGCCUCCUCCAUUGUCCUCUCUACCAUCUGCAGAAAUGACCAUAUAGCUUUGGUCAAUUCACUCCUUUAACUCUACACAUUUUUAUCACCCAAUUUGAUAUGGCCAAAUAAUUCAAAUUCUUAUCCAAGAAUCAUCUAAGAUGGUCCCUUUCUGGGAUAAGAAAGUUACAGUAAUAUCAAGAAAUAUUUUGUUGAAGAUUCCAUAUCCAGUCAUCAUUCAUCUAAUUAAAGAAGUUAAAAAUUUGAAAAUUGACCAGAACUCUUGGGAAGUACUAGAGCUCUGUUCUAAAGACCAAAUGCAGGUGGUGCUGAAAAGAACAGCAGGUUUUCAAGAACCCUCCAAGCAACAUCCAUGCGUCUGCAAAUUGAAGUGAUUGGCCUCAUUGUUUAGAAUAUUCCGAGACUCAGGCAAGUCCUGUCUUCAGCGCUGCGACUCUUUCUCGGGAAAGAUUCUGUGGAUCAAGAAAUCAGAUGCGGCACAAGAAUUCAGACAGAGAGGACUAGGUUUCCGCUCCACAGUGUCUGAGAUCUGGGUGGGGAAGACUUAAGCAGCUGGAGGGGGCAUGUCCAGAGAGCCGGGGACUGGAAGCACCUGAUGCUGCUUCCUAUACAUCUGACACCUGGCCUGGGAUGACUGGAAGACUGACUCAGGUGGAACUAUGGAUUGGGACACCUACUCGUGUAAUGUCUCCUUGGAGCUUGAGAGUCCUUACAGCACAGCAGACUUGAUCUUCUUAUUUGGCAGCUUUGGAUACCAGGUUGGAAGAGUCACUUCAUAAGUACAAGCACCAUCCGUGUCAGGUCCCCCAGCAUACUGUACUGCUGGCAGACAUUUAUCUGCUCAAGGAGAUCCUGGUAAGGAAUACGGAACUAAUAAGCCACCACCAACCCAAAGAGUUCGGGAAAGGUCAAAAGGAGACACCAUGUGUCUGUCUACUUCCCAGAAUCCCUCUCGCUAGCAUCCAUCUUGGCUGAGCGAUGCGUGUGCCACCAGGAAAUACUCUGAAUUAGACUGAUUGGCCAAAGACAACCUGGAAACUAAUCCCAUCAUCAUAAAACCUGAGACUGUGAGCCACGUGGCAGAGCAGUUCUCCUGGGUUCCCUUACCCUACUGCUCUCCACCUGGGUGCCCUUUCCCAAUAA
Bos taurus (domestic cattle) is the source of this 1738-nucleotide long non-coding RNA. The record is from Ensembl. Lineage: Eukaryota; Metazoa; Chordata; Mammalia; Artiodactyla; Bovidae.